UAAGUGCAUGUGGUGGAUGCCUUGGCGAUUACAGGCGACGAAGGACGUGAUAGCCUGCGAUAAGCUUCGGGGAGCUGGCAAAUAAGCUUUGAUCCGGAGAUUUCCGAAUGGGGAAACCCACCUCGUUUAGAGGUAUCGCAUGCUGAAUACAUAGGCAUGCGAGGCGAACCGGGCGAACUGAAACAUCUCAGUAGCUCGAGGAAAAGACAUCAACCGAGAUUCCGAAAGUAGUGGCGAGCGAAAUCGGAUCAGCCCAGUGGCUGUUCUUUAAUAACUGGAAGCAUCUGGAAAGUUGCACCAAAGUGGGUGAUAGUCCCGUACAGGUAAAAAUUAGAACAGUCCUUGAGUAGGGCGGGACACGUGAAAUCCUGUCUGAACAUAGGGGGACCAUCCUCUAAGGCUAAAUACUACUGAUCGACCGAUAGUGCACAAGUACCGUGAGGGAAAGGUGAAAAGCACCCCGAUUAGGGGAGUGAAACAGUACCUGAAACCGG
This 494-nucleotide ribosomal RNA is filed under the name Prymnesium parvum. RNAcentral's name for it is "partial Bacterial large subunit ribosomal RNA". It matches the Rfam family "Bacterial large subunit ribosomal RNA", at positions 12 to 559 of the family's 2925-position model. The record is from RNAcentral. Lineage: Eukaryota; Haptophyta; Prymnesiales; Prymnesiaceae.